ACAGCUGACCCUAGCCUCCACCCUCACUGUCACUCUGCUCUUUGGCUCUGACCCUCCUGCCACCCCUUGUGAAUAUUCAGGUGCCAGGGCCCUCUCCAUCUCAACAUCUCUACUCACCCUGCAAAGCCCCUUGAGCCACAGGAGGUCACAUGUCCACAGCUUCCAGGGACAAGGGUGUGGACAUUUUGGGGGAGCCAUGAUGCUGCCUCCCACAUCUCCAUACGAACAUAUCACGGCCCAGACAGAUUCUCCUGCAGCCUGGGGCCUGGAAUGCAAAGGCCACUGGAGCCAAAUCAGCUGAACGGAGCUGAGCCAGCAGAGCCGCAGGCAGCAGCCACCCUGUGAGCAGCUGGGAACCACUGAGAAGUGGAGAUGUUUGUCAUAGCAGCAGCAGCUGGCAGAUACUUGCUAUCCACACACCCUGGGCACACAUGGGCACCAAGGCUGGGGGCGACAGAACUUUACACUGUGGGAUUCUCUCCUGACAGCCAAGAAGGGGGUUUUCCCUUCUACCAUGAAGAACUUCCCCGGAGGUCUCCCCACAUCUAAUAAUUAGGAAGAUAACGUGGUCAUCAACAAUAAAAGCUGCCCAGGCAGGCGCCUGCA
Molecule: long non-coding RNA, 606 nt
Filed under: Pan troglodytes (chimpanzee)
Lineage: Eukaryota; Metazoa; Chordata; Mammalia; Primates; Hominidae
Description: lincRNA
Source: RNAcentral